Long non-coding RNA from Oreochromis niloticus (Nile tilapia), 1378 nucleotides. RefSeq lists it as uncharacterized. Lineage: Eukaryota; Metazoa; Chordata; Actinopteri; Cichliformes; Cichlidae. The record is from RefSeq and is a predicted model, not a curated record. The transcript is spliced from 7 exons.
CACAAAUAUGCAAUGAACGUGCAAAAACUCUCUUUAUUAGUUGUUGCUCUUUCUUUCUUUCUUUCUUUCUUUUUUUUGAAAAAUAACGACGUCUCUGAGGCGCAAAUUCCGACAGUGAGAGGAACGGCCGGAUACAGGAGACGGGAAGAAACAAGCCGAUUAUGUUCGCUUUAAUUAAGUGGUUGGAAGAUGUAAAAUUCUCAAUUCUGCCAACUGAACAUAUACGAGAUUUUAAUGAGGAUGAAUAAUUAGCCGGCAUGGAGGAAACGGACAAGAAGGAGGCGGGUGGCCGGUCUAUGAAGCCUCCAUCAUCAAGCUAGCAGAAAUCCCACCUCUCCUUCUGGCUACAGAGCACUUACCAAGCCCAUGAAAUCGAAUGCAGAUCUUCCUGAUGUCAGAUUUACAUAAAUAUGUCAAAGUCUCAACCUCAUGCUGCCCUCCCCAUCCUCCUAAACCUGUGGAUACAAAUGCAGAUUUCCUUAAUGUUCAAUGGUGCGUGUUCUUCUAAUGGCUGCCUUCCCACUGGAGGUUUUGAUCCACAGCAAUUUAAAAGGAGGACAGAGCAAAACGGACAUCGGCGCAGAGCGAAGAACUGCCCUUCAUAAGGACACUAUGACAGCCAUAUAUAGUAAGUGAAGACUUUCUGUGUAUCUAAAAUUGCAUACAGCACAAGUAACUUACUUUACAACCAUUAAAAUAGGUUGUAAAGUAAGUUACCAAUACAAAUAGGUGAUGAUGCUUUGUAGUGGUUGGUCUCAGACAAAGAAGGUCAACAGAUUUAUGAAUGCUGGAGGGUAAGGAGAGACAACCAAAAGGGGUGUUAGCAUUACUGUAAUGUGAACUGGAUAGACUUUCCAUCUAGGAAAAAAAAGAGGUAAAAUUAUGCAUAAAAUAUAUCUGUAUUAAUAUCUGUAUCUAUAUAAACAGAAAUAUCUGUUUGCUAAAUGAAGCCAGCUAACAUAAAUCAUAUUUUUAUUUUAAUUCUGAUAAAAGUAAUAGAACUGUGACUUUUGUUUGUUACAGGAAGAGGUUUCCCAAUGUGUCCAGAAGGGCUUUGAGGAUUGCAGUGAAAGCUGGGGGAACUGAGACUGCUGGAAAAGGAAAAGAAAUUACAUUUUAAGUAUGUUGACUUAUGUUCAUACAAUCACACACACAUAUACACAUACACACACACAUAUAUAUACACACACAUAUAUGUAUAUGUGUGUGUAUAUAUAUGUGUGUGUGUGUGUUUCUUUUAGAAUGUUUAAGUAUGUAAUGAGAAUAAAAUAAUAAAAUGAAUACUCCUUGCUUGAUUGAUAUGCUAUAUGUAUGUUUUAAACAUCAAAUAAAGAUUUCUUUCAGCUGUUACAUGUGAAUGUGUUUUCUUAGAAAUAUA